RNAcentral lists this unclassified non-coding RNA (1456 nucleotides) under uncultured fungus. RNAcentral's name for it is "sequence contains 18S rRNA gene, ITS1, 5.8S rRNA gene, ITS2, 28S rRNA gene". The stretch from base 512 to 1456 matches the Rfam family "Eukaryotic large subunit ribosomal RNA", at positions 1 to 961 of the family's 3401-position model. The record is from RNAcentral. Lineage: Eukaryota; Fungi. RNAcentral also lists the same sequence under 1 other name.
GGAAGGAUCAUUACUGAGUGAGGGUCCCUCGGGGCCCAACCUCCCACCCGUGUAUACCGUACCUUGUUGCUUCGGCGAGCCCGCCCCCUUCUCGUUAGGGGGGCACAGCGCUCGCCGGAGACACCAACGUGAACACUGUCUGAAGUUUUGUCGUCUGAGUCGAUUGUAUCGCAAUCAGUUAAAACUUUCAACAAUGGAUCUCUUGGUUCCGGCAUCGAUGAAGAACGCAGCGAAAUGCGAUAAUUAAUGUGAAUUGCAGAAUUCAGUGAAUCAUCGAGUCUUUGAACGCACAUUGCACCCCCUGGUAUUCCGGGGGGUAUGCCUGUCCGAGCGUCAUUGCUGCCCUCAAGCACGGCUUGUGUGUUGGGUCGUCGUCCCCCCGGGGACGGGCCCGAAAGGCAGCGGCGGCACCGCGUCCGGUCCUCGAGCGUAUGGGGCUUUGUCACACCGCUCUUGUAGGCCCGGCCGGCUGCUGGCCGACGCUGAAAAGCAACCAACUAUUUCUCCAGGUUGACCUCGGAUCAGGUAGGGAUACCCGCUGAACUUAAGCAUAUCAAUAAGCGGAGGAAAAGAAACCAACCGGGAUUGCCUCAGUAACGGCGAGUGAAGCGGCAAGAGCUCAAAUUUGAAAUCUGGCCCCCUCGGGGUCCGAGUUGUAAUUUGCAGAGGAUGCUUCGGGUGCGGCCCCCGUCUAAGUGCCCUGGAACGGGCCGUCAUAGAGGGUGAGAAUCCCGUCUGGGACGGGGUGUCCGCGUCCGUGUGAAGCUCCUUCGACGAGUCGAGUUGUUUGGGAAUGCAGCUCUAAAUGGGUGGUAAAUUUCAUCUAAAGCUAAAUACUGGCCGGAGACCGAUAGCGCACAAGUAGAGUGAUCGAAAGAUGAAAAGCACUUUGAAAAGAGAGUUAAAAAGCACGUGAAAUUGUUGAAAGGGAAGCGCUUGCGACCAGACUCGCCCGCGGGGUUCAGCCGGCAUUCGUGCCGGUGUACUUCCCCGCGGGCGGGCCAGCGUCGGUUUGGGCGGCCGGUCAAAGGCCCCCGGAAUGUAGCACCCUUCGGGGUGCCUUAUAGCCGGGGGUGCAAUGCGGCCAGCCUGGACCGAGGAACGCGCUUCGGCACGGACGCUGGCAUAAUGGUCGUAAACGACCCGUCUUGAAACACGGACCAAGGAGUCUAACAUCUACGCGAGUGUUCGGGUGUCAAACCCGUGCGCGCAGUGAAAGCGAACGGAGGUGGGAGCCCCCCCGCGGGGCGCACCAUCGACCGAUCCUGAUGUCUUCGGAUGGAUUUGAGUAAGAGCGUAAAUGUGGGGACCCGAAAGAUGGUGAACUAUGCCUGAAUAGGGCGAAGCCAGAGGAAACUCUGGUGGAGGCUCGCAGCGGUUCUGACGUGCAAAUCGAUCGUCAAAUUUGGGUAUAGGGGCGAAAGACUAAUCGAACCAUCUGGUAGCUGGUUCCUGC